UACGUAGGUGGCGAGCGUUAUCCGGAAUUACUGGGCGUAAAGGGCGCGUAGGCGGCCGCCUAAGUCAGACGUGAAAGCCCCGGGCUCAACCUGGGAACCGCGCUUGAGACUGGCACGCUCGAGUUCGGGAGAGGAUGGUGGAAUUCCCAGUGUAGAGGUGAAAUUCGUAGAUAUUAGGAAGAACACCGGUGGCGAAGGCGGCCCACUGGUCCGGUACUGACGCUGAGGUGCGAAAGCGUGGGGAGCAAACAGG
Molecule: ribosomal RNA, 253 nt
Filed under: uncultured bacterium
Lineage: Bacteria
Description: partial 16S ribosomal RNA
Rfam family: Bacterial small subunit ribosomal RNA
Source: RNAcentral